This 43-nucleotide ribosomal RNA is filed under the name Ourisia cockayneana. RNAcentral's name for it is "partial 26S ribosomal RNA". Lineage: Eukaryota; Viridiplantae; Streptophyta; Magnoliopsida; Lamiales; Plantaginaceae. The record is from RNAcentral.
CGACCGAGUCCCCAUGUCAGGCGGGAUUACCCGCUGAGUUUAA